Molecule: non-coding RNA, 127 nt
Filed under: Microcebus murinus (gray mouse lemur)
Lineage: Eukaryota; Metazoa; Chordata; Mammalia; Primates; Cheirogaleidae
Source: RNAcentral
GUAUUGUAUGAAAGGAGGGAAGGUUAGCACUCCCCUUGACAAAGAUGGAAGAGGCUCUCAGGCCUGUACAACAUGCAUAUGGUUAAGGCAUUGCCACCUACUUUGUGGCAUCUAACCAUCGUUUUUU